AUGCUUGGCCGGGCCAUAGCUUUGUUUUUUAUUGUGAGAUUUUAAAAUCAUUUGGCACAUUUGUUCACCAUCAUUGAACAGUGUGUCGGGCGAAAGAAUUACGUCGAUAUUUCCAAGAACAAGGGCACAAUUUGAGUUUAAAGGUAAAAAAUGGCCAUAAUUGAGCUUGUCUGGGCAAUAACUAUGUUGUUUAUUGUGCGAUUUUAAAAUCGUUGGCUCUUUUGUUCACCAUCAUUUGACAGUGUGUCGCGCGAAAGAAUUACGUCGAUAUCUUCAAACUCAAGUUCGUAGUUUUAGUUCAAAGGUCAAAAAUGGCAAUAAAUUAUCUUGUCUGGGCCAUAAAUAUGUCAUUCAUUGUAAGAUUUUAAAAUGACUCUGUACAUCAAUUUUGUUCAAAGUCAUUGGAAGGCUUGUCAUGUGAAACAAUUCAAGAGUUCAAAGGUCAAAAUGGCUAUAAAUGAUAAUGGCAUAAUGAUUCUUAAAAAAUCGCCAUAAAUUGUAUUAUCUUGUUUUGUGAAGACAGCAUACAAAAUAGUCUGUGUCAAUGCGUUAUGUGGGGGUAUAUGUCACGUCUGUGACAAAGCUCCAGUUGGCAUGCAUGUGCAUCUUGUGAAGCUGCACAUAUUGAGUGGUGAAAAGUGAAGGUCAAGGUAAUCCUUCAAGGUUAAAUGUUAAAUAUAUUGCUUCUGUCCGUCCGUCUGAAAACUUUAAAAUUGGCCAUAACUUUUGAGCUCACCUGAGUGCAACAUGCUCAUGGUGAGCUUUUGUGAUUGCCUUUUGUCCGUUGUGCGUUGUAUGUCGUCAACAUUUUGCCUUGUGAACACUCUAGAUGCCACAUUUAUUGUCUGAUCUUCAUGAAAUUUUGCAGAACAUUUGUCACAUUGAUACCUCGACUGAGUUCGAAACUGGGUCAUGCUGGGUCAAAAAUUAGGUCACUAGGUCAAAAAAAAAACAAAAAACUUGUGAACACUGUAGAAGUCCAAUCUUCAUGUAACUUUGUCAAAAUGUUUGUCUAAGUGAUAUUUUGGUUGAGUUAAAAAUUGGUUCCGGUCCGUUGAAAAACAUGGCCGCCAGGGGCGGGGCAGUUUUCCUUAUAUGGCUAUAGAGAAACCUUGUGAACACUUUAGAAGUCAAAAUGUUUGCCUAAUCAUCAUGAAACUUGGUCAAAACAUUGGUUUUAUUUAUAUUUUGGACGAGUUCAAAUGGUCCAGAUCAGUGAAAAAACAUGGCCGCCAAGGGGCGGGGGAGUUUUCCUUAUGUCUUUAGUUAAACAUUGCUAACACUCUAGAGGCCACAUUUAUUGUCCAUUCUUCAUGAAAUUUGGUCAGAAGUUUGGUCUCAAUGAUAUCUUAGACGAGCUGAAAAUGGUUACGUUUGCUUGAAAAACAUGGCUGCCAAAGGGCGGGGCAUUUUUCCUUAUAUGGCUAUAUAUGGCUAUAGUAAAACGUUGUGAACACUCUAGAGGCCACAUUUAUUGUCCAAUCUUCAUGAAAUUUGGUCAGAAUAUUUGUCUCAUUAAUAUCUUGGAUGGGUUUGAAAAUGGUUAUGUUUGCUUGAAAAACAUGGCUGCCAAGGGGCGGGGCAUUUUUUCCUUAUAAAAAUGGCUAUUGUAAAAUCUUGUUAACACUCUUGAGGCCACAUUUAUAUUCCGAUCUUCAUGAAACUUGGUCAGAAUAUUCAUCCCAAAAAAUAUAGUAGACAAGUUAAAAAAUGAUGCUGGUUGGUUGAAAAACAUGUCCGCCAGGGGGUGGGGCAUUUUACCUUAUAUGGCUAUAGUAAAACUUUGUUAACACUCUAUAGGCCACAUUUAUUUUCUUAUCUUCAUGAAACUUGGUCAGAAGAUUUGUCCUAAUGAUAUCUAGGAUUAGUUCAAAAAUAGUUUUGUUUGCUUAAAAAACAUGGCCACCAGGGGGCGGGGCAUUUUUCCUAAUAUGGUUAUGUAUCAUGCUUUACUAAAACAUUGUUAACACUCUGUAGGCCACAUUUAUUUUCCGAUUAUUAUGAAACUUGGUCAGAUGAUUUGUCCAAAUGAUAUCUUGGAUGAGUUCAAAAAUGGUUCUAGUUGGUGAAAAAACAUGGCCACUAAGGGGCGUGGCAUUUUUCCUUAUAUGGCUAAAGUAAAACCCUGUUAAAACUCUAGAAGCCAUAUUUAUUGUACGAUCAUCAUGACACUUUGUCAGAAGAUUUGUCCCAAUGAUAUUUGGACAAGUUUGAAAUUGGUUCCAGUUGCUAAGAAAAACAUGGCCACCAGUGGGCGGGGCAUUUUUCCUUAUAUGGACUUAUGAAUCUUCUUGAAACUUUGUCAGUAUAUUAGUUUAAAUGAUAUCUUGGAUGUGUAUUUCACGUUGACAUUUGAAGCUUUAACUUUGUAUGAUUCUAAAUAUGUGUCAAUGCUGUCAGUUGAAUUUUGCAAUAUGAAGUUUUACAUUUUUUGUAGAUUAAAUAAUUUGUAAAAUGUUGCAGUUUCGUCAAUCAGUUUUAUAAGAUAUUGAGCUUUAGUUAUGAUGCAGAUUGUAAGAUUCUUAAUAUCUUUCAAUAUUGUGGAUAAGUUUUUGAGAUAUCAAGCUUUGAGUUUUAUGCAAAUUGUAUGAUUUUAAAAUGUUUCAAUGGUGUUGAUCAGUGUAAUGAAGAUUGCAUAAUUUUUAUGCUUUAAUACUGUCUAUUGGUUUUCAAAAUGAAAGACUUUGAUUUUGUAAGUGCACUUUUAUCUCCUGAAAGAUUCUUUUCUAGUGUUUAGUUUAUAUUUUAAGGCUGUUUGCAAACUCGAAGUGAAAACAGUUCUAUUACAAUUUGGUAAGGACAUGACAUUGCAUAUCUGAUUUUAAAAUGUACUUUGCUGGCAACGUGUAAUUUUCUGAAAUGUCUUAGUAAGACUGUUGUUUGCAAUCAAAAGGUCUGUGCUUCAAAUACAGGGUAAUGCAUGUUUUUUGUCCAAAUUUAUGGCGAUUCAGACAUUGUUCUAUGUAAAUUUGGGGUUUGCUUGAAGGUUCAGUCUAUUUUUAUGUCCCUCACUAUAGUAGUGGGGGACAUAUUGUUUUUGUCCUGUCUGUUGGUUGGUUGGUUGGUUGAUCUGUUUACGCCAACUUUAACAUUUGCAAUAACUUUUGCAAUAUUGAAGAUAGCAACUUGAUAUUUGGCAUGCAUAUGUAUCUCAUAGAGCUGCACAUUUUAAUUUUCUGAAAGGUCAAGGUCAGAGGUCAAAUAUAUGUGGCCAAAAUCGCUCAUUUUAUGAAUGCUUUUGCAAUAUUGAAGAUAGCAACUUCAUAUUUGGCAAGCAUGUGUAUCUCAUGGAGCUGCACAUUUUGAGUGGUGAAAGGUCAAGGUCAUAAUUCAAUGUCAUAGGUCGAAUAUAUGGCUUCAAAGCGGCGCAGUAAGGGGGAUUGUGUUUUAUGAACACAGCUCUUGUUGUUAACUGCCUUUUUAGUCCCUUACCAGUGUUUCACUAAAGUCCGUGUACUUUGGACUCAUUUCAAGUUGACAUUUGAAGCUUUAACUUUGUAUGAUUCUAAAUAUGUGUCAAUGCUGUCGGUUGAAUUUUGAAAUAUGAAGUUUUUCAUUUUUUGUAGAUUAAAUAAUUUGUAAAAUGUUGCAGUUUAGUCAAUCAGUUUUAUAAGAUAUUGAGCUUUAGUUAUGAUGCAGAUUGUAAGAUUCUUAAUAUCUUUCAAUAUUGUGGAUAAGUUUUUGAGAUAUCAAGCUUUGAAUUUUAUGCAAAUUGUAUGAUUUAAAAUGUUUUAAUUUGUUGAUCAGUGUACUGAAGAUUGUAUACUUUUUAUAUGUUAUAAUUCUGUCUAUUGGUUUUCAAAAUGAAAGACUUUGAUUUUGUAAGUGCACUUUUAUCUCAUUAUGCCCCCCUUCGAAGAAGAGGGGGUAUAUUGCUUUGCUCAUGUCGGUCGGUCUGUCGGUAUGUCAGUCUGUCGGUCCGUCCACCAGGUGGUUGUCAGACGAUAACUCAAGAACGCUUGGGCCUAGGAUCAUGAAACUUCAUAGGUACAUUGAUCAUGACUCGCAGAUGACCCCUAUUGAUUUUGAGGUCACUAGGUCAAAGGUCAAGGUCACGGUGACCCGAAAUAGUAAAAUGGUUUUCGGAUGAUAACUCAAGAACGCAUAUGCCUAGGAUCAUGAAACUUCACAGGUAGAUUGAUCAUUGCUCACAGAUGACCCUUAUUGAUUUUAAGGUCACAAGGUCAAGGUCACGGUGACCCGAAAUAGUAAAAUGAUUUUCGGAUGAUAACUCAAGAACGCUUUUGCCUAGGAUCAUGACACUUCAUAGGUACAUUGAUCGUGACUCACAGAUGACCCCUAUUGAUUUUCAGGUCACUAGGUCAAAGGUCAAGGUCACAGUGACAAAAAACGUAUUCACACAAUGGCUGCCACUACAACGGACAGCCCAUAUGGGGGGCAUGCAUGUUUUACAAACAGCCCUUGUUAAAGAUUCUUUUCUAGUGUUUAGUUUAUAUUUUAAGGCUGUUUGCAAACUCGAAGUGAAAACCGCUCUAGUACAAUUUGGUAAGGACAUGACAUUGCAUAUCUGAUUUAAAAAUGUACUUUGCUGGCAACGUGUAAUUUUCAGAAAUGUCUUAGUAAGUAAGACUGUUGUUUGCAAUCAAAAGGUAUGUGCUUCAAAUCCAGGAAAAUGCAUGUUUUUUGUCCAAAUUUAUGUCAAUUCAGACAUUGUUCUGUGUAAAUAUGGGGUUUGCUUGUAGGAUCAGUCUAUUUUUAUGUCCCCCACUAUAGUAGUGGGGGACAUGUUGUUUUUGCUCUGUCGGUCUGUUGAUUGGUUGGUUGGUCUGUUUAUGCCAACUUUAACAUUUUGCAAUAACUUGCAAUAUUGAAAGUAGCAACUUGAUAUUUGGCAUGCAAAUGCAUCUCCUGAAGCUGCACAUUAUCAUUGGUGAAAGGUCAAGGUCAUCCUUCAAGGUCAGAGGUCAAAUAUAUGUGCCCUUAAUCGCUCAUUUUAUGAAUACUUUUGCAAUAUUGAAGAUAGCAACUUGAUAUUUUGCAAGCAUGUGUAUCUCAUUGAGCUGCACAUUUUGAGUGUUGAAAGGUCAAGGUCAUCCUUCAAGGUCAGAGGUCAAAUAUAUGUGGCCCAAAUCGCUUAUUUUAUUAAUACUUUUGCAAUAUUGAAGAUAGCAACUUGAAAUUUGGCAUGCAUGUGUAUCUCAUGGAGCUGCAAAUUUUGAGUGUUGAAAGGUCAAAGUCAUCCUUCAAGGUCAGAGGUUAAAUAUAUGUGGCCCAAAUCGCUUAUUUUAUGAAUACGUUUGCACUAUUGAAGAUAGCAACUUGAUAUUUGGCAUGCAUAUGUAUCUCAUAGAGCUGCACAUUUUGAGUGGUGAAAGGUCAAGGUCAUCCUUCAAGGUCAAAUAUAUGGGUCAAAAUUGCUCAUGUUAUGUUACUUCUGCAAUAUUGAAGCUAGCAAUUUUAUAUUUGACAUGCAUGUGUAUCUCAUGGAGCUGCACAUUUUGAGUGGUGAAGGGUCAAGGUCAUCCUUCAAGGUCAAACGUUAUAUAAGGGGACAUUGGGUUUCACAAACGCAUCUUGUUGUGUAUGUAAUUAAUUUUGCUUAAUUUUUGUGAUCCCCCGCCAACAGCGGAGGGAUAUUAAUUUGGCAUUGUCCGUCUUUCCGUCUGUCCGUCCGGCACUUUUGUGUCCGGAACCAUAUUUUGGAAGUGCUUUGGCAGAUUUCAUUGAAACUUGGCAUGAGUAUAUAUAUAUAUGGAUAAGAGGAUGAUGCACGCCAAAUGGCAUUGUACAUCCUUGAAUAAUAGCGGAGUUAUGACCCUUUGUAUUUGAAAAAAAUGCUUUUUUUGUGUGUCCAGAGCCAUAACUUGUAUCCAGAAGUAUAAUGGCGGGGGAUAUCAAUUCAACGAAUUUGCUUGUUAAAUCAGUUUUUAUUUUCAUGAUAAUCAUUUAGUUCGUACUGCAACUUAUGAUGGAUUGUUACUACUAUCUCCAAUUAUUUGUUUGUCAUGGGUCCGUCACCAUUUAUCUCUUAUAUAAUACUUGAAUUGAGCAUUUCACAAUCUGACAAUCAUGCAUAUCAUUUAUUAGUUUCAUAAUAAAACGUCUGACAAGGGUCAGAUAAUUUUAA
Dreissena polymorpha is the source of this 6088-nucleotide long non-coding RNA. RefSeq lists it as uncharacterized. The transcript is spliced from 2 exons. Lineage: Eukaryota; Metazoa; Mollusca; Bivalvia; Myida; Dreissenidae. The record is from RefSeq and is a predicted model, not a curated record.